AGGAUGACGUCAGAUCUGCAUGGCCCUUAUGUCCAGGGCUACACAGGCGCUACAAUGGCAGGUACAAAGGGUUGCAAAACCGCAAGGUGAAGCUAAUCCCACAAAGCCUGUCUCAGUUCGGAUUGAAGGCUGCAACUCGCCUUCAUGAAGUUGGAAUCGCUAGUAAUCGUGAAUCAGCCAUGUCACGGUGAAUACGUUCCCGGAUCUUGUACUCACCGCCCGUCACACCAAGAGAGUUGGUAGCUCCCGAAGCGUCGCAAUAAAGCGGCACCACGGAGAGAUCAGCGAUAGGGGUGAAGUCGUAACAAGGUAUCCGUUGGGGAAUCAGCGGAUGGAUCACCUCCUUUCUAGGGAG
Molecule: ribosomal RNA, 355 nt
Filed under: Candidatus Moraniibacteriota bacterium
Lineage: Bacteria; Candidatus Moraniibacteriota
Description: bacterial SSU rRNA
Rfam family: Bacterial small subunit ribosomal RNA
Source: RNAcentral